RNAcentral lists this ribosomal RNA (630 nucleotides) under Salmonella enterica. Its description in RNAcentral is "partial 23S ribosomal RNA". It matches the Rfam family "Bacterial large subunit ribosomal RNA", at positions 2202 to 2827 of the family's 2925-position model. Lineage: Bacteria; Pseudomonadati; Pseudomonadota; Gammaproteobacteria; Enterobacterales; Enterobacteriaceae. The record is from RNAcentral. RNAcentral also lists the same sequence under 1 other name.
ACCCUUUAAUGUUUGAUGUUCUAACGUGGACCCGUGAUCCGGGUUGCGGACAGUGUCUGGUGGGUAGUUUGACUGGGGCGGUCUCCUCCUAAAGAGUAACGGAGGAGCACGAAGGUUGGCUAAUCCUGGUCGGACAUCAGGAGGUUAGUGCAAUGGCAUAAGCCAGCUUGACUGCGAGCGUGACGGCGCGAGCAGGUGCGAAAGCAGGUCAUAGUGAUCCGGUGGUUCUGAAUGGAAGGGCCAUCGCUCAACGGAUAAAAGGUACUCCGGGGAUAACAGGCUGAUACCGCCCAAGAGUUCAUAUCGACGGCGGUGUUUGGCACCUCGAUGUCGGCUCAUCACAUCCUGGGGCUGAAGUAGGUCCCAAGGGUAUGGCUGUUCGCCAUUUAAAGUGGUACGCGAGCUGGGUUUAGAACGUCGUGAGACAGUUCGGUCCCUAUCUGCCGUGGGCGCUGGAGAACUGAGGGGGGCUGCUCCUAGUACGAGAGGACCGGAGUGGACGCAUCACUGGUGUUCGGGUUGUCAUGCCAAUGGCACUGCCCGGUAGCUAAAUGCGGAAGAGAUAAGUGCUGAAAGCAUCUAAGCACGAAACUUGCCCCGAGAUGAGUUCUCCCUGAGACUUAAAGUCUC